RNAcentral lists this ribosomal RNA (187 nucleotides) under Vibrio parahaemolyticus. RNAcentral describes it as "partial 16S ribosomal RNA". It matches the Rfam family "Bacterial small subunit ribosomal RNA", at positions 1 to 169 of the family's 1533-position model. The record is from RNAcentral. Lineage: Bacteria; Pseudomonadati; Pseudomonadota; Gammaproteobacteria; Vibrionales; Vibrionaceae.
UUAAAUUGAAGAGUUUGAUCAUGGCUCAGAUUGAACGCUGGCGGCAGGCCUAACACAUGCAAGUCGAGCGGAAACGAGUUAUCUGAACCUUCGGGGAACGAUAACGGCGUCGAGCGGCGGACGGGUGAGUAAUGCCUAGGAAAUUGCCCUGAUGUGGGGGAUAACCAUUGGAAACGAUGGCUAAUAC